GAAAUUAUGGAAAAGGUCAAAUUAGAGUAUGAAAUGAUAAAAAGGUCACCUAGUUUCCCACUUGAUAAAAAGGUCCAUCAUGAAUUGUUAGUAAUAUUAAUUUAGUCCUUGUUAAUAAUGAGGUGAUGUUAAAAAAAGUCGGUUUAUGAUAUUUUCGUUUCCGAUUUUACCCCUAUUAGUAACCUACCCGAAUUGUGUUUCAAUUUCAAAAAAACCAGAUCAGUUCUCUCUCUCCUCCCCACGCUACUCUCCGACUCUCCAUCGACCCCCUCGCCGUCUCCGAAGUCGAUGUCGUUUGCGCCUAUCCUUCUCCGGCUGGAGCCGAGUCGCCGGUGACCAUUGGACCUCCAUAUCCGACUGGAAAGCGACCUAGAGACGAACUGGAAGCCGACGACAAUCAUGAAGACGACGGGAGCUGCGGUUGAGAUUAGGCUUUUGAGACUCGAUCUGUACCUAUAGCUUCUUCUUCCUCAUCGCAGAUUUCGCUCGCCUCUACUCCGCCAUCGAGUCCGACAUUGAAGCUGCUCUUCAGAAAGCGGAGCUUGCUUCAAAAGAAAAAAGUAUGGCAUCUGCAGGUGCUCUGACUGCCAAGAUUCGCCGGACCAAGGCUCCAUUGCUUGAAGAGGUUCCCAAGUUGCAGAGAUUGGCUGUAAAGAAGCUAGCAUAUCUGCCUGAUAAAAAACGGGAAUAUGUGAUUGAUGAUGAUGCUCUAAGUCAUGCUUCCGAGCUUUCAGUGGAAGGAAGAGAUGAUAUCACUAAUCUUGAUGAGUUGGUCAAGGAUUACAAAAGAAACAGAAGACGUGGAAUGCUCGGAUGGCUUAAACUGAAACUGUAAAUUGGAAGAAACGAUUGCAUGUCUUGUUGACUUGAGCUUCAUAUAGUUAGUCCAAAGUUGGAGAUAGGCUACACACAUCAAUGGAUGUCAGUUAGUGAAUCCAGCGCUCAAGAGUUGGAGAGUUCCAUGAAAGUUUUGACAAAAGUGGACUUGGACUUGGCAUAUUCUGCUGAGAAGUUGGCAAAUCUACAGGAGCUUAUGAUGCGCCUAUUCUCUCAAGAAAAUGAUCUUGAAGCAAUGGCCACCGCAAAUAACUAUAUCAUGAGAAACUAUUGUGAUUCAGAUUUUUCUAGAUUUUGUUUUAAAAAGUUUGUCAUUUCACUAUCUAUAAGGCCAAUGUUGUGGUAUAUGGUUUUGACUGAAAAUCUAGCAGUCUUUUUCCUACUUGUUCUGGUUUUUGUAUGUAUAUUUGUUAAAUCAGAGGAGUAUAGUUAUGAUUUUCGCAAUCAAGCCUUCUUUGAUUUGCAUUAAGCCCUCUUGUA
This is an RNA transcript of Rosa rugosa (rugosa rose), 1317 nucleotides long. It is a transcript of the gene named kinesin-like protein KIN-7C, mitochondrial, with no coding region annotated. NCBI's taxonomy places the organism in Eukaryota, Viridiplantae, Streptophyta, Magnoliopsida, Rosales, Rosaceae. The transcript is spliced from 5 exons. The record is from RefSeq and is a predicted model, not a curated record.